AUGACUAGGAGGACGAGGUCUUUUGGAGAUAUGAGUGAGGCCAUGGGGAGAGAUGGGCGAGAAGACAGAAGGACUGUGACUCCAUUGAGGGAAAUGAAGCCUGAGAGGAUUUUUGGCAAGAUGGCUCAUUUGCAGAGGUUGCUGGACAGAUUCUUGUCGUGUCGGCCCACGGGAUUAGCCAAGAACAGCAGGAUGAUACUGAUUGCGCUUUACCCAAUUGUGAGAGAGAGUUUCCAGUUGUAUGCAGAUAUAUGUGAGGUUUUGGCCGUCUUGCUGGACAAAUUCUUUGACAUGGA
This 296-nucleotide unclassified non-coding RNA is filed under the name Hevea brasiliensis (rubber tree). Lineage: Eukaryota; Viridiplantae; Streptophyta; Magnoliopsida; Malpighiales; Euphorbiaceae. The record is from RNAcentral.